GCCUGGGUGGCUCAGUCGGUUGGGCAUCUGACUUCGGCUCAGGUCAUGAUCUCACGGCUCGUGGGUUCGAGCCCUGCGUCGGGCU
RNAcentral lists this transfer RNA (85 nucleotides) under Felis catus (domestic cat). It matches the Rfam family "tRNA". From Rfam's summary of the family: Transfer RNA (tRNA) molecules are approximately 80 nucleotides in length. The record is from Rfam by way of RNAcentral. Lineage: Eukaryota; Metazoa; Chordata; Mammalia; Carnivora; Felidae.